UGCGUAGGUGGUUGUUUAAGUCUGCUGUGAAAGCCCCGGGCUCAACCUGGGAAUGGCAGUGGAUACUGGACAGCUAGAGUGCGGUAGAGGGUAGUGGAAUUCCCGGUGUAGCAGUGAAAUGCGUAGAGAUCGGGAGGAACACCAGUGGCGAAGGCGGCUACCUGGACCAGCACUGACACUGAAGCACGAAAGCGUGGGAGCAAACA
RNAcentral lists this ribosomal RNA (206 nucleotides) under uncultured bacterium. Its description in RNAcentral is "partial 16S ribosomal RNA". It matches the Rfam family "Bacterial small subunit ribosomal RNA", at positions 568 to 774 of the family's 1533-position model. The record is from RNAcentral.